AUUGAACGCUGGCGGCAUGCCUUACACAUGCAAGUCGAACGGCAGCACGGGAGCAAUCCUGGUGGCGAGUGGCGAACGGGUGAGUAAUAUAUCGGAACGUGCCCAGUCGUGGGGAUAACGUAGCGAAAGCUACGCUAAUACCGCAUACGAUCUAUGGAUGAAAGCGGGGGAUCGCAAGACCUCGCGCGAUUGGAGCGGCCGAUAUCAGAUUAGGUAGUUGGUGAGGUAAAGGCUCACCAAGCCGACGAUCUGUAGCUGGUCUGAGAGGACGACCAGCCACACUGGGACUGAGACACGGCCCAGACUCCUACGGGAGGCAGCAGUGGGGAAUUUUGGACAAUGGGCGCAAGCCUGAUCCAGCAAUGCCGCGUGCAGGAUGAAGGCCUUCGGGUUGUAACUGCUUUGUACGGAACGAAAGGUUAGUCUUAAUACGAUGAGCUCAUGACGGUACCGUAACGGAAUAAGACACCGGCUAACUACGUACG
This 485-nucleotide ribosomal RNA is filed under the name uncultured bacterium. RNAcentral describes it as "bacterial SSU rRNA". It matches the Rfam family "Bacterial small subunit ribosomal RNA", at positions 30 to 509 of the family's 1533-position model. The record is from RNAcentral.